This 314-nucleotide unclassified non-coding RNA is filed under the name fungal sp. RNAcentral's name for it is "partial internal transcribed spacer region". The stretch from base 1 to 46 matches the Rfam family "Eukaryotic small subunit ribosomal RNA", at positions 1786 to 1831 of the family's 1831-position model. Lineage: Eukaryota; Fungi. The record is from RNAcentral.
AAGUCGUAACAAGGUCUCCGUAGGUGAACCUGCGGAGGGAUCAUUAACACAAUAUACAAAGUAGAUCGUUGACUUCAAAAGUUAACUUUCUCACUUUUGUUAUACCAACUCGUGAACGAAACAUUAUGUAUCUCUCGCUUAGCUUUGUAAUAUAAGCUAAGUUAUGUUUUUAUUGUAUUUUCUUUAUACAAACUAACAUCUUCAACAGUAUAACUUGUACCACAUAGAAUGCAUUCUUAGAGUGUACUUUUAUGGUGUGUUACUUUUAGUUAACAAAAUAAGCACAACUCUUAGCAACGGAUAUCUCGGUUCUC